GGUCCAAAUUUGGAGUAGAGUAGAUUAUUAGGAUCAGCUGACCAUACCCAACUAUUCCACUCCGAGUUUGUGCUC
This 75-nucleotide microRNA precursor is filed under the name Haemonchus placei. Its description in RNAcentral is "mir-5928 microRNA precursor family". It matches the Rfam family "mir-5928 microRNA precursor family". The record is from Rfam by way of RNAcentral. Lineage: Eukaryota; Metazoa; Nematoda; Chromadorea; Rhabditida; Trichostrongylidae.